This 468-nucleotide ribosomal RNA is filed under the name uncultured bacterium. RNAcentral describes it as "partial 16S ribosomal RNA". It matches the Rfam family "Bacterial small subunit ribosomal RNA", at positions 28 to 507 of the family's 1533-position model. The record is from RNAcentral.
GACGAACGCUGGCGGCGUGCUUAACACAUGCAAGUCGAACGGAAAGGCCCUGCUUUUGUGGGGUGCUCGAGUGGCGAACGGGUGAGUAACACGUGAGUAACCUGCCCUUGACUUUGGGAUAACUUCAGGAAACUGGGGCUAAUACCGGAUAGGAGCUCCUGCUGCAUGGUGGGGGUUGGAAAGUUUCGGCGGUUGGGGAUGGACUCGCGGCUUAUCAGCUUGUUGGUGGGGUAGUGGCUUACCAAGGCUUUGACGGGUAGCCGGCCUGAGAGGGUGACCGGCCACAUUGGGACUGAGAUACGGCCCAGACUCCUACGGGAGGCAGCAGUGGGGAAUAUUGCACAAUGGGCGGAAGCCUGAUGCAGCAACGCCGCGUGCGGGAUGACGGCCUUCGGGCUGUGAACCGCUUUCGCCUGUGACGAAGCGUGAGUGACGGUAAUGGGUAAAGAAGCACCGGCUAACUACGUG